UACGAGGGGGGCAAGCGUUGUUCGGAAUUAUUGGGCGUAAAGGGUGCGUAGGCGGCGCGGUAAGUCGGGUGUGAAAUCUUGGAGCUUAACUCCGAAACUGCAUUCGAUACUGCCGUGCUUGAGGACUGGAGAGGAGACUGGAAUUUACGGUGUAGCGGUGAAAUGCGUAGAUAUCGUAAGGAAGACCAGUGGCGAAGGCGGGUCUCUGGACAGUUCCUGACGCUGAGGCACGAAGGCCAGGGGAGCAAACGGG
Molecule: ribosomal RNA, 253 nt
Filed under: uncultured bacterium
Lineage: Bacteria
Description: partial 16S ribosomal RNA
Rfam family: Bacterial small subunit ribosomal RNA
Source: RNAcentral